Molecule: ribosomal RNA, 486 nt
Filed under: uncultured bacterium
Lineage: Bacteria
Description: partial 16S ribosomal RNA
Rfam family: Bacterial small subunit ribosomal RNA
Source: RNAcentral
AUUGAACGCUGGCGGCAUGCCUUACACAUGCAAGUCGAACGGCAGCACGGGUGCUUGCACCUGGUGGCGAGUGGCGAACGGGUGAGUAAUACAUCGGAACAUGUCCUGUAGUGGGGGAUAGCCCGGCGAAAGCCGGAUUAAUACCGCAUACGAUCCACGGAUGAAAGCGGGGGACCUUCGGGCCUCGCGCUAUAGGGUUGGCCGAUGGCUGAUUAGCUAGUUGGUGGGGUAAAGGCCUACCAAGGCGACGAUCAGUAGCUGGUCUGAGAGGACGACCAGCCACACUGGGACUGAGACACGGCCCAGACUCCUACGGGAGGCAGCAGUGGGGAAUUUUGGACAAUGGGCGAAAGCCUGAUCCAGCAAUGCCGCGUGUGUGAAGAAGGCCUUCGGGUUGUAAAGCACUUUUGUUCGGAAAGAAAUCCUUGACUCUAAUACAGUCGGGGGAUGACGGUACCGGAAGAAUAAGCACCGGCUAACUACGUG